CCCUGCCCUUUGUACACACCGCCCGUCGCUCCUACCGAUUGAAUGGUCCGGUGAAGUGUUAGGAUCGCGGCGACGUGGGCGGUUCGCUGCCUGCGACGUCGCGAGAAUUCCACUGAACCUUAUCAUUU
Molecule: ribosomal RNA, 128 nt
Filed under: uncultured eukaryote
Lineage: Eukaryota
Description: partial small subunit ribosomal RNA
Rfam family: Eukaryotic small subunit ribosomal RNA
Source: RNAcentral